This 212-nucleotide unclassified non-coding RNA is filed under the name plant metagenome. RNAcentral's name for it is "partial contains small subunit ribosomal RNA, internal transcribed spacer 1, and 5.8S ribosomal RNA". The record is from RNAcentral.
UUUCCGUAGGUGAACCUGCGGAAGGAUCAUUAAAAAUGAAGCCGGGAUACCGGUCCCUCUAACCCUUGAUUAUCUUAAUUUGUUGCUUUGGUGGGCCGCGCAAGCACCGGCUUCGGCUGGGUCGUGCCCGCCAGAGGACACAACUCUGUAUCAAAUGUCGUCUGAGUACUAUAAAAUAGUUAAAACUUUCAACAACGGAUCUCUUGGUUCUG